AGUAACGCGUAGGUAAUCUACCCUAAUAUCUGGGAUAACAUUGGGAAACUGGUGCUAAUACCGGAUACCCUUCUUUGCUGCUGGGCGAAGGAGGAAAGGUGGCCUCUUCAUGAAAGCUACCGUAUAAGGAUGAGCCUGCGUACCAUUAGCUAGUAGGUGGGGUAAUGGCCCACCUAGGCAACGAUGGUUAGCGGGUCUGAGAGGAUGAUCCGCCACACUGGAACUGGAACACGGACCAG
This 239-nucleotide ribosomal RNA is filed under the name uncultured bacterium. RNAcentral's name for it is "partial 16S ribosomal RNA". It matches the Rfam family "Bacterial small subunit ribosomal RNA", at positions 109 to 334 of the family's 1533-position model. The record is from RNAcentral.